RNAcentral lists this ribosomal RNA (326 nucleotides) under uncultured eukaryote. Its description in RNAcentral is "partial 18S ribosomal RNA". It matches the Rfam family "Eukaryotic small subunit ribosomal RNA", at positions 1470 to 1796 of the family's 1831-position model. The record is from RNAcentral.
CCCUUAGAUGUUCUGGGCCGCACGCGCGCUACACUGAUGCAUUCAACAAGCCUAGCCUUGACCGAGAGGUCCGGGUAAUCUUUGAAACUGCAUCGUGAUGGGGCUAGAUUAUUGCAAUUAUUAAUCUUCAACGAGGAAUGCCUAGUAAGCGUGAUUCAUCAAAUCGCGUUGAUUACGUCCCUGCCCUUUGUACACACCGCCCGUCGCUCCUACCGAUUGAAUGUGUUGGUGAGGAGCUCGGAUUGGCAGCAGUUGGUGGUUCGCCACCGGCUACUGCUGAGAAGUCCUCCAAACCGCCCCAUUUAGAGGAAGGAGAAGUCGUAACA